Molecule: long non-coding RNA, 1778 nt
Filed under: Homo sapiens (human)
Lineage: Eukaryota; Metazoa; Chordata; Mammalia; Primates; Hominidae
Description: non-protein coding lnc-FGFR2-2:6
Source: RNAcentral
ACAUGCAAUCAGCGUUGCUGAAAGCAGCUGUCCAGGUCUCUUGUCGCUUAAAUUCCACUUCUCCUUGGAGCGGGGUGAGCAAUUUUCUCCUUUCUCAUCCUUAAACCCAAGUAGUGAAUGGUGGGGUGGAGUUGGAGGUGGGGAGGGGUCCACCUCCACAUCUUGCUUUCCUCCAAUAUCGAGACUUGGCCAUUGAAACAUUUUUGCUACUGGCUCCUCCAGGGAUUUAGAAACUGGAGAAGAUGAGGCUGUUAGAAAAUGAAAAAUGAUGAGCAGAAGCAAUUUUCCUCAUGGGCUCUGGCCCCAAAAGGAGCAUCAGUCUGUGCUUUGGAUGCAGAUCCUUGUCUGUUCUGUUCUUGAUUUAUUCCUGCAAAUCUGCCCAAGUGCAGUUAAAGUUAAUGAAAAAGAGGAGAGCAGAGAGCAGGGAUCCACAGGGCUGAGACACUGACAGUGCGAGGCACUCAGGCUGGAGCUCCUGGGCAGCCUGGGCUGGAGGUCACAGUCUGCAUAGAACAUGCCAUUCUUAUUGGGAAUACCAUGUCUGUGCCAAGGCCCGUCACAAGGACCUGUCGGGUAAAUAAAGCUGCACCUGCCCAGGCCUCAGGGAAAACUCUGUGAACUCUCUCUCCCUGACUUUAUCAUGGGUCAUUCAAAAUGGGAAGAGGAUUUUGGAAACUGUGUCCAAGGUUGAAGGGGGAGGAGCAGCAGACAGCGAUGUUCGUGUCUGCUGGAGAGGCAAUCAUGCCUCUCCAGUUAUGUCCAUCUUUGAACAGAUUUGGAUUUUCCCUUGAAGCUGGGCUGGAUCCUGACUUCCUCAUAUUGCCAGAGUUAGACAAAUAAUGAGUGUGAUUAGAGAAGACUGGAAGAUUAGAGCUCGCACACCUGGGCUCUGACUGCAGGCCCUUUGCAUCUCUCACCUGGUCUCCUUACUGCAUCUCGGCCCCCCAGCUGCCUUCACUUGGGCUCCCUCAAAGCCACCACCUGAAGGCAGUAGCCAAUGCAAGUACCCACGUGACUGUGUGGCUCAAAAUCCUGUGCUCCUCAUGCCACAGGAUGAAGUCUGAGAUCUCGAAUGUGGCCUCUGAGGCCCCAUAAGAUCAGGCCCUGCUUUGUGUCCUGAUGCCAAGGUCCUCAAUGCUGAGAGCCCUGAGCCCAAGACAAGGUGUGGUGAGUAAGAUCCUACAUAAGCAAAGAAGCUCAUGAGUGAUGGCUUCCUUCUUCCAGCAUCUACGGAGCGCUCCUCCCAGCUAGGUGUUGUGAUCAGUGUGGGGGACAGUUGAGGCCUCUCUGUCACCUCCCUCCCACCUGGUCCUCCCUCCAGCCUAGCCCAAAUGUUGGAGCUUCCUGCCUCUUCCCUCUGGCCAUGUCUCUGGCUUCAGCCCAUGCCUUCCCCUACACCUGAAGUGCUUCUUAUACCUCUGCUCCUGCCCAGCCCUUCUUCAUCCUUGCAUAUCUGGCUCCCAAUGACUCUUCCCCUAAGAAGCCCUCUGAGUCUCUGCCCAGGCCUUCAUCCUUGCAUAUCUGGCUCCCAAUGACUCUUUCCCUAAGAAGCCCUCUGAGUCUCUGCCCAGGCCCCUCUUCUGUUCCCACAGGGCUCCUUCGUCUGUGCCUCCAUAACGUGCUGUGCACAACUUUAUAACAACUCAGCACAGUGAAUUCAAACAUCCCUUGAUUACCUGCCCAGAACUGGCACUCUGCAAAUGUUUAUGAAAGGACUAAGGGAAGGAAGGGAGAGAAGGAAGGAGAGAAGAAGGGAGGAAGAGAGGGAGUAAAGGGGA